Paramuricea clavata is the source of this 362-nucleotide non-coding RNA. The record is from the annotation of a GenBank genome assembly. Lineage: Eukaryota; Metazoa; Cnidaria; Anthozoa; Malacalcyonacea; Plexauridae.
AAUCCUUUAGAUGUGGAUGAAUGCGCACAAAACCCUGGCAUCUGUGAUAUAAAUGCAAACUGCAGUAACAUUGGAGGAAGCUAUGCCUGUGAAUGUUUGAAAGGUUAUACUGGUGAUGGUAAACUUGACUGUUCAGGUACAUGCAAAGGUGUAGAUUUACUCUGAAUAUCGUUAAAAAUACCAUACCUACUGUUAUUAUCUAAUUACUUUUUUCUACAUUUUGUUCUAUAUUGUAGAUAUUGAUGAGUGCACAACUUCUCCCGACAUUUGCGAUAAAAACGCGCAAUGCUCAAACACUCCAAGAUCUUACGUGUGCCAAUGUACUGUAGGUUACUCGGGUGAUGGUUACAGUAGAUGUACAG